GCGCCACAUAAGCCUUCCCCACGCCCUCUCUCUUAUUCAACGUCAAUCUCCACUUAUUUUGUGUGACAAAAGCCCUCUCCCAGGUCUCUCCCAUGUUCACAAAAGGUCUCCUCUCUUCUUUCUUACAUGGAAGGUGGUUUGGAUCAAAUAAAAAAGGAAUAAGUUUGGAUUUCGAAUUCUAUGAGAUAGAGUUUUAGAAAUCCAAAACUCUUUCAAUUUUGCACCGAAUUUAUCCA
This 236-nucleotide long non-coding RNA is filed under the name Elaeis guineensis (African oil palm). RNAcentral's name for it is "long non-coding RNA (EGUI_LNC056944)". The record is from RNAcentral. Lineage: Eukaryota; Viridiplantae; Streptophyta; Magnoliopsida; Arecales; Arecaceae.